UCACGUGUGCGAACCUGAAAAUUUGGAUUCCACCGCAACCGAAACUCCCCAAGCAGCAGCAAGACUCGAGGCUGGAGAGAGAGAGAGAGAUGCAGCUUCUACAAUGCCUCUCGCCUGUGCAGCGUGGUCGCCGGAGGAAUGCAGGGAGGAGGAGGGCCAGGAAGAGACAAGGACGGAGCUCCCUGGGACCUCAAGCGGGCUGGUUUCCUUGUCGCCGCCGUUGCUCCGGCUCUGGUCGCCGUGCUUGUCGCCUUGUCUCAUCUCUGUCUCGCUCCAGGUGCGCCGCUUUCCUCAUUCCUUGACUUGGCUGCAGCUCGUUGCCUUUGCAUCUCUGUGUGUGGAAUGGUGUGGUCUUGUCGAAUGUGUUUUGAGUUUCGUGUGGAAUUUGUUGGGGUAGAUGGUGUGUUCUGGUUCUAUCUGUUAGAUUACGUUAGUUGACAGGUCAUUUCAUCAAAAAGUUUGCGAGCAACAUGCACUUCCCCAUUCUUCACAUGACCAUCAAUCAUGGUAUUCCAGCUAACCAAAUGCAACACAGCGCAUCAAACGCCAAGCGUGCACUCCUGGCUUUUCGAAAAACCGAAUACUUGUGAAUCAACGCAUUCCUCAAGAAUGAUUCUAACCCAAACCCAAGUUUUAACACCCUGUCAUGAACCUUCUCUUCUUCAGUUAAUGACCCAAUCGCCACAAACCCUUCACAACAAUAAAAAACGUAUAGUGAUUUGGGGCAACAUCGUUCCCCACCAUCUCGUCAUAAUAAAAUCUCAAAGCACCACUCGCACCAUUGGUGUUGACAUAAGUUCGCAUACUAGUAUUGCACAGAAAAGCAACGGACUCUUGGCUACACUUGAAGAACGAAGCCGCAGGAGCAACUUCAUGCAAAGAACAGAGCUUCUUCACAGCUCGGCUUGUGGCAAGAGAGUGUUGAGAAAGACGAGCAACAAUUAGCUGAGCAUGGACUACUCGACUCCAAUCUGCGCAUAAUCGGACGGGCUAACGUCAACACGUCAACUUCUUCAUCGUUUACGGUUAAAAUUCGCCGCUUGACAUCGGGAGGCCAGAGCCUCGGUGUGGGUAUGGAGAGGUAUGUCUAGGAUUUGAUGAAUUUGUUGAGAGAUAGCUAUAGGGAUGAGAAUCUGGUGUUUGGUGUGAGUUUAUGGGCAAUGCCCAAUAUCGUUCCUGGCUUGCGUUUGGUUUUUCCGGGAAGCUUUGUGCUUCCGAUAUCUGAAGUUUUAGAGCUCAGACCGUGCUAUAACGUCAUGCCCUUGGCUAGUGCUCGAGAGUGCUAGAGUGGCAGAGAUUCUUGUAUGCACGACUAUUUUUGCAAAGGUUUUUUUU
This is a long non-coding RNA of Syzygium oleosum, 1335 nucleotides long. RefSeq lists it as uncharacterized. The record is from RefSeq and is a predicted model, not a curated record. Lineage: Eukaryota; Viridiplantae; Streptophyta; Magnoliopsida; Myrtales; Myrtaceae. The transcript has 2 exons.